GACGAACGCUGUCGGCGUGCUUAACACAUGCAAGUCGAACGGAAAGGCCCUGCUUUUGUGGGGUGCUCGAGUGGCGAACGGGUGAGUAACACGUGAGUAACCUGCCCUUGACUUUGGGAUAACUUCAGGAAACUGGGGCUAAUACCGGAUAGGAGCUCCUGCUGCAUGGUGGGGGUUGGAAAGUUUCGGCGGUUGGGGAUGGACUCGCGGCUUAUCAGCUUGUUGGUGGGGUAGUGGCUUACCAAGGCUUUGACGGGUAGCCGGCCUGAGAGGGUGACCGGCCACAUUGGGACUGAGAUACGGCCCAGACUCCUACGGGAGGCAGCAGUGGGGAAUAUUGCACAAUGGGCGGAAGCCUGAUGCAGCAACGCCGCGUGCGGGAUGACGGCCUUCUGGUUGUAAACCGCUUUCGCCUGUGACGAAGCGUGAGUGACGGUAAUGGGUAAAGAAGCACCGGCUAACUACGUG
This 468-nucleotide ribosomal RNA is filed under the name uncultured bacterium. RNAcentral's name for it is "partial 16S ribosomal RNA". It matches the Rfam family "Bacterial small subunit ribosomal RNA", at positions 28 to 507 of the family's 1533-position model. The record is from RNAcentral.